RNAcentral lists this ribosomal RNA (301 nucleotides) under uncultured bacterium. RNAcentral describes it as "partial 16S ribosomal RNA". The record is from RNAcentral.
GGAGUCUGGGCCGUGUCUCAGUCCCAGUCUGGAUGAUCAUCCUCUCAAACCAUCUAACGAUCGUCGACUUGGUAAGCCAUUACCUCACCAACUAUCUAAUCGUACGCAGGCCAGUCCCAAACCGGAUAAAUCCUUUAAUCCGAAGAUCACAUGCGGUAUUAGCAACUCUUUCGAGUAGUUAUCCCUCAGUUUGGGGUCCGUUCCCACGCGUUACUCAGCCGUCCGCCGCUCGUCAGCAACUAGCAAGCUAGUUCUGUUACCGCUCGACUUGCAUGUAUUAGGCACGCCGCCAGCGUUCAUC